AGUUGUUUUUUUUCUGCUCAGGACGAACGCUGGCGGCGUGCCUAAUACAUGCAAGUCGAGCGGACAGAUGGGAGCUUGCUCCCUGAUGUUAGCGGCGGACGGGUGAGUAACACGUGGGUAACCUGCCUGUAAGACUGGGAUAACUCCGGGAAACCGGGGCUAAUACCGGAUGCUUGUUUGAACCGCAUGGUUCAAACAUAAAAGGUGGCUUCGGCUACCACUUACAGAUGGACCCGCGGCGCAUUAGCUAGUUGGUGAGGUAACGGCUCACCAAGGCAACGAUGCGUAGCCGACCUGAGAGGGUGAUCGGCCACACUGGGACUGAGACACGGCCCAGACUCCUACGGGAGGCAGCAGUAGGGAAUCUUCCGCAAUGGACGAAAGUCUGACGGAGCAACGCCGCGUGAGUGAUGAAGGUUUUCGGAUCGUAAAGCUCUGUUGUUAGGGAAGAACAAGUACCGUUCGAAUAGGGCGGUACCUUGACGGUACCUAACCAGAAAGCCACGGCUAACUACGUGCCAGCAGCCGCGGUAAUACGUAGGUGGCAAGCGUUGUCCGGAAUUAUUGGGCGUAAAGGGCUCGCAGGCGGUUUCUUAAGUCUGAUGUGAAAGCCCCCGGCUCAACCGGGGAGGGUCAUUGGAAACUGGGGAACUUGAGUGCAGAAGAGGARAGUGGAAUUCCACGUGUAGCGGUGAAAUGCGUAGAGAUGUGGAGGAACACCAGUGGCGAAGGCGACUCUCUGGUCUGUAACUGACGCUGAGGAGCGAAAGCGUGGGGAGCGAACAGGAUUAGAUACCCUGGUAGUCCACGCCGUAAACGAUGAGUGCUAAGUGUUAGGGGGUUUCCGCCCCUUAGUGCUGCAGCUAACGCAUUAAGCACUCCGCCUGGGGAGUACGGUCGCAAGACUGAAACUCAAAGGAAUUGACGGGGGCCCGCACAAGCGGUGGAGCAUGUGGUUUAAUUCGAAGCAACGCGAAGAACCUUACCAGGUCUUGACAUCCUCUGACAAUCCUAGAGAUAGGACGUCCCCUUCGGGGGCAGAGUGACAGGUGGUGCAUGGUUGUCGUCAGCUCGUGUCGUGAGAUGUUGGGUUAAGUCCCGCAACGAGCGCAACCCUUGAUCUUAGUUGCCAGCAUUCAGUUGGGCACUCUAAGGUGACUGCCGGUGACAAACCGGAGGAAGGUGGGGAUGACGUCAAAUCAUCAUGCCCCUUAUGACCUGGGCUACACACGUGCUACAAUGGACAGAACAAAGGGCAGCGAAACCGCGAGGUUAAGCCAAUCCCACAAAUCUGUUCUCAGUUCGGAUCGCAGUCUGCAACUCGACUGCGUGAAGCUGGAAUCGCUAGUAAUCGCGGAUCAGCAUGCCGCGGGUGAAUACGUUCCCGGGCCUUGUACACACCGCCCGUCACACCACGAGAGUUUGUAACACCCGAAGUCGGUGAGGUAACCUUUUAGGAGCCAGCCGCCGAAGGUGGGACAGAUGAUUGGGGUGAAUUACAAAGGGGGGAGCAC
Molecule: ribosomal RNA, 1514 nt
Filed under: Bacillus subtilis
Lineage: Bacteria; Bacillati; Bacillota; Bacilli; Caryophanales; Bacillaceae
Description: bacterial SSU rRNA
Source: RNAcentral